This 433-nucleotide long non-coding RNA is filed under the name Mytilus galloprovincialis (Mediterranean mussel). The record is from RNAcentral. Lineage: Eukaryota; Metazoa; Mollusca; Bivalvia; Mytilida; Mytilidae.
CACUAUCAACAACAUAUGCCGUAUUGUUUCCAAAAGUAACUUUAGUUCUUUAGAGUUUUUCAGAAUCCACAUAUAGUUAAUGCCACUACGCGAGUAUACAGUUUCACUUUAUUUCUGAAGGCACUCUUUACCUGCAGACAGAAUUUUUGUCAAUCUAAUAGACAAUUCUUUAGUCGAACAUGCAGAUGAGCCGGCAAUAUACCGUUGUUUGUACGGAAUUUUGUGAAGCUUUGGUAUUAAAUACAAACAAGGUAAGUCUUCCGAUUUGUUGUUCAAUGUAAUGUUCAUUGAAGCCAUGAAGAACGUUUAGAUCGCCAAAAUCUCACCAAUAUCCAAUGAUAUGUUUUUGUUUGUGGAAUUACAUGAGUGCUCAUUUAUUCCUCAUUCUUUUUACAAAAGAGGAAUGAAAGAUAACAGACACAAGACUCUCGUA